GACGAACGCUGGCGGCGUGCCUAAUACAUGCAAGUCGAACGCAGUGGGGACGGGUGAGUAACACGUGGGUAACCUCCCAUCACAGGGGAUAACACUUGGAAACAGGUGCUAAACCGAUACUGAUUGAUGGACCCGCGGUGCAUUAGCUAGGUGGUGAGGUAACGGCCCACCAAGGCCACGAUGCAUAGCCGACCGGCGAGGUGGAUCGGCCAAACUGGAACUGAGACACGGCCCAGACUCCGACGGGAGGCAGCAGUGGGGAAUCUUCGGCAAGGUACGAAAGUCUGACCGAGCAACGCCGCGUGAGUGAAGAAGGUUUUCGGAUCGUAAAACUCUGUGGGUAGAGAAGCGGUAUCUAACCAGAAAGCCACGGCUAACUACGUGCCAGCAGCCGCGGUAAUUC
RNAcentral lists this ribosomal RNA (403 nucleotides) under uncultured bacterium. Its description in RNAcentral is "partial 16S ribosomal RNA". It matches the Rfam family "Bacterial small subunit ribosomal RNA", at positions 28 to 526 of the family's 1533-position model. The record is from RNAcentral.